This 253-nucleotide ribosomal RNA is filed under the name uncultured bacterium. RNAcentral describes it as "partial 16S ribosomal RNA". It matches the Rfam family "Bacterial small subunit ribosomal RNA", at positions 524 to 776 of the family's 1533-position model. The record is from RNAcentral.
UACGAAGGGGGCGAUCGUUGUUCGGAAUUACUGGGCGUAAAGCGUACGUAGGCGGCUUUGCAAGUCAGGAGUGAAAUCCCAGGGCUUAACCCUGGAAUUGCUCUUGAGACUGCAAGGCUUGAAUUCGGGAGAGGAUAGCGGAAUAUCCAGUGUAGAGGUGAAAUUCGUAGAUAUUGGAUGGAACACCAGUGGCGAAGGCGGCUAUCUGGCCCGACAUUGACGCUGAGGUACGAAAGCGUGGGGAGCAAACAGG